This 1347-nucleotide ribosomal RNA is filed under the name metagenome. RNAcentral's name for it is "bacterial LSU rRNA". It matches the Rfam family "Bacterial large subunit ribosomal RNA", at positions 1564 to 2925 of the family's 2925-position model. The record is from RNAcentral.
UGAGUGCGAGCUGCUACGGCAGCGAAGUUGGUGACGUCAAGCUUCCAAGAAAAGCCCUAUACCCGUUAAGGCAUCAUGGCCUGUACCCGAAACCGACACAGGUGGGGUGGUAGAGAAUACCGAGGGGCGCGAGGUAACUCUCUCUAAGGAACUCGGCAAAAUGGCCCCGUAACUUCGGGAGAAGGGGUGCCACCGCAAGGUGGUCGCAGUGAAGAGGCCCAGGCGACUGUUUACCAAAAACACAGGUCUCCGCUAAGUCGCAAGACGAUGUAUGGGGGCUGACGCCUGCCCAGUGCCGGAAGGUUAAGGAAGCUGGUCAGCGCAAGCGAAGCUGGCGACUGAAGCCCCGGUGAACGGCGGCCGUAACUAUAACGGUCCUAAGGUAGCGAAAUUCCUUGUCGGGUAAGUUCCGACCCGCACGAAAGGCGUAACGAUCUGGGCGCUGUCUCGGAGAGAGGCUCGGCGAAAUAGAAUUGUCUGUGAAGAUGCGGACUACGUGCACCCGGACAGAAAGACCCUAUGAAGCUUUACUGUAGCUUGGUAUUGUGCCCGGGCUCUGAAUGCGCAGGAUAGGUGGGAGGCUUUGAUCAUCGGCUUGCGGGUCGAUGUGAGCCAACGGUGAGAUACCACUCUUUCAGAGCUAGGGUUCUAACAGUCACCCGUUAUCCGGGGACUGGACAGUAUCAGGUGGGCAGUUUGACUGGGGCGGUCGCCUCCUAAAAGGUAACGGAGGCGCGCAAAGGUCUGCUCAGGCUGGUUGGAAAUCAGCCGACGAGUGUAAAAGCAGAAGCAGGCUUGACUGUGAGACCUACAAGUCGAACAGGGAGGAAACUCGGCUUUAGUGAUCCGACGGUUCUGCGUGGAAGGGCCGUCGCUCUACGGAUAAAAGUUACUCUAGGAUAACAGGCUGAUCUCCCCCAAGAGUUCACAUCGACGGGGAGGUUUGGCACCUCGAUGUCGGCUCAUCGCAACCUGGGGCUGAAGUCGGUCCCAAGGGUUGGGCUGUUCGCCCAUUAAAGCGGUACGCGAGCUGGGUUCAGAACGUCGUGAGACAGUUCGGUCCAUAUCCGGUGCAUGCGCAGGAAUAUUGAGAGGAGUUCUCCCUAGUACGAGAGGACCGGGAGGAACGCACCUCUGGUGUACCAGUUAUCGUGCCAACGGUAAACGCUGGGUAGCCAUGUGCGGAGAGGAUACCGCUGAAAGCAUCUAAGUGGGAAGCCCACCUCAAGAUGAGUAUUCCCAUGGCGUUAGCCAGUAAGGUCACGGGAAGAACACCCGUUGAUAGGCUCUAUGUGGAAGCGCAGUAAUGCGUGAAGCAGAGGAGUACUAAUAGACCGAGGGCUUGAU